UACGUAGGGGGCAAGUGUUGUCCGGAAUCAUUGGGCGUAAAGGGUGCGUAGGCGGGUCUUUAAGUCAGGGGUGAAAUCCCGGAGCUCAACUCCAGAACUGCCUUUGAUACUGAAGAUCUUGAGUUCGGGAGAGGUGAGUGGAACUGCGAGUGUAGAGGUGAAAUUCGUAGAUAUUCGCAAGAACACCAGUGGCGAAGGCGGCUCACUGGCCCGAUACUGACGCUGAUGCACGAAAGCGUGGGGAGCAAACAGG
RNAcentral lists this ribosomal RNA (253 nucleotides) under uncultured bacterium. RNAcentral describes it as "partial 16S ribosomal RNA". It matches the Rfam family "Bacterial small subunit ribosomal RNA", at positions 524 to 776 of the family's 1533-position model. The record is from RNAcentral.